Hibiscus syriacus is the source of this 135-nucleotide long non-coding RNA. RefSeq lists it as uncharacterized. The transcript has 3 exons. The record is from RefSeq and is a predicted model, not a curated record. NCBI's taxonomy places the organism in Eukaryota, Viridiplantae, Streptophyta, Magnoliopsida, Malvales, Malvaceae.
CCAGGAGGUACAAGCCCCACCAUUUUUGGUCUAUUGUUUCUGAAGAGGAAUUUGCCGCAAGAUCAAAACGGCCGCGAGAGUGAGGGUAAAGAAGAAGAACAAAUGCUGCAAACAUUGGAAAGGGGCAAAAAGGAC